UUGAACGCUGGCGGCAGGCCUCACACAUGCAAGUCGAGCGGAUGAAGGGAGCUUGCUCCUGGAUUCAGCGGCGGACGGGUGAGUAAUGCCUAGGAAUCUGCCUGGUAGUGGGGGAUAACGUCCGGAAACGGGCGCUAAUACCGCAUACGUCCUGAGGGAGAAAGUGGGGGAUCUUCGGACCUCACGCUAUCAGAUGAGCCUAGGUCGGAUUAGCUAGUUGGUGGGGUAAAGGCCUACCAAGGCGACGAUCCGUAACUGGUCUGAGAGGAUGAUCAGUCACACUGGAACUGAGACACGGUCCAGACUCCUACGGGAGGCAGCAGUGGGGAAUAUUGGACAAUGGGCGAAAGCCUGAUCCAGCCAUGCCGCGUGUGUGAAGAAGGUCUUCGGAUUAUAAAGCACUUUAAGUUGGGAGGAAGGGCAGUAAGUUAAUACCUUGCUGUUUUGACGUUACCAACAGAAUAAGCACCGGCUAACUUCGUG
RNAcentral lists this ribosomal RNA (483 nucleotides) under uncultured bacterium. Its description in RNAcentral is "partial 16S ribosomal RNA". It matches the Rfam family "Bacterial small subunit ribosomal RNA", at positions 30 to 507 of the family's 1533-position model. The record is from RNAcentral.